GCAUAGCUCAGUUGGCAGAGCAGCUGAUUUGUAAUCAGCAGGUCGGUGGUUCGAAUCCACUUG
This 63-nucleotide transfer RNA is filed under the name marine eukaryotic metagenome. It matches the Rfam family "tRNA", at positions 6 to 65 of the family's 71-position model. Rfam says of the family: Transfer RNA (tRNA) molecules are approximately 80 nucleotides in length. Their secondary structure includes four short double-helical elements and three loops (D, anti-codon, and T loops). Further hydrogen bonds mediate the characteristic L-shaped molecular structure. tRNAs have two regions of fundamental functional importance: the anti-codon, which is responsible for specific mRNA codon recognition, and the 3' end, to which the tRNAs corresponding amino acid is attached (by aminoacyl-tRNA synthetases). tRNAs cope with the degeneracy of the genetic code in two manners: having more than one tRNA (with a specific anti-codon) for a particular amino acid; and 'wobble' base-pairing, i.e. permitting non-standard base-pairing at the 3rd anti-codon position. The record is from RNAcentral.